Molecule: ribosomal RNA, 468 nt
Filed under: uncultured bacterium
Lineage: Bacteria
Description: partial 16S ribosomal RNA
Rfam family: Bacterial small subunit ribosomal RNA
Source: RNAcentral
GACGAACGCUGGCGGCGUGCUUAACACAUGCAAGUCGAACGGAAAGGCCCUGCUUUUGUGGGGUGCUCGAGUGGCGAACGGGUGAGUAACACGUGAGUAACCUGCCCUUGACUUUGGGAUAACUUCAGGAAACUGGGGCUAAUACCGGAUAGGAGCUCCUGCUGCAUGGUGGGGGUUGGAAAGUUUCGGCGGUUGGGGAUGGACUCGCGGCUUAUCAGCUUGUUGGUGGGGUAGUGGCUUACCAAGGCUUUGACGGGUAGCCGGCCUGAGAGGGUGACCGGCCACAUGGGGACUGAGAUAGGGCCCAGACUCCUACGGGAGGCAGCAGUGGGGAAUAUUGCACAAUGGGAGGAAGCCUGAGGCAGAAACGCCGCGUGCGGGAUGACGGCCUUCGGGUUGUAAACCGCUUUCGCCUGUGACGAAGCGUGAGUGACGGUAAUGGGUAAAGAAGCACCGGCUAACUACGUG